CCUACGGGAGACAGCAGUGAGGAAUAUUGGUCAAUGGGCGCGAGCCUGAACCAGCCAAGUAGCGUGAAGGAUGACUGCCCUACGGGUUGUAAACUUCUUUUAUAAAGGAAUAAAGUGAGCCACGUGUGCCUUUUUGUAUGUACUUUAUGAAUAAGGAUCGGCUAACUCCGUGCCAGCAGCCGCGGUAAUACGGAGGAUCCGAGCGUUAUCCGGCUUUAUUGGGUUUAAAGGGUGCGUAGAUGGGUUGUUAAGUCAGUUGUGAAAGUGUGCGGCUCAACCGUAAAAUUGCAAUUGAUACUGGCAGUCUUGAGUACAGUCGAGGUAGGCGGAAUUCGUGGUGUAGCGGUGAAAUGCUUAGAUAUCACGAAGAACUCCGAUUGCGAAGGCAGCUUACUAAACUGCCACUGACAUUGAUGCUCGAAAGUGUGGGUAGCAAACAGGAUUAGAUACCCCAGUAGUC
This 460-nucleotide ribosomal RNA is filed under the name uncultured bacterium. RNAcentral describes it as "partial 16S ribosomal RNA". It matches the Rfam family "Bacterial small subunit ribosomal RNA", at positions 338 to 795 of the family's 1533-position model. The record is from RNAcentral.